UACAGAGGUCCCAAGCGUUGUUCGGAUUCACUGGGCGUAAAGGGUGCGUAGGUGGUCGGGUAAGUCCGAUGUGAAAUCUCCAGGCUCAACCUGGAAAUGGCAUUGGAUACUAUUCGGCUUGAGGAGUGGAGGGGGGACUGGAAUUCUCGGUGUAGCAGUGAAAUGCGUAGAGAUCGGGAGGAACACCGGUGGCGAAGGCGGCCAGCUGGCGCUGACCUGACGCUGAGGCGCGAAGGCAUGGGGAGCGAACGGG
RNAcentral lists this ribosomal RNA (253 nucleotides) under uncultured bacterium. RNAcentral's name for it is "partial 16S ribosomal RNA". It matches the Rfam family "Bacterial small subunit ribosomal RNA", at positions 524 to 776 of the family's 1533-position model. The record is from RNAcentral.